RNAcentral lists this ribosomal RNA (439 nucleotides) under uncultured bacterium. RNAcentral describes it as "bacterial SSU rRNA". It matches the Rfam family "Bacterial small subunit ribosomal RNA", at positions 958 to 1398 of the family's 1533-position model. The record is from RNAcentral.
AACGCGAAGAACCUUACCCAGGCUUGAACAGCGAGUGACCAUCUCCGAAAGGGGACUUCCGCAAGGACACUCGUAGAGGUGCUGCAUGGCUGUCGUCAGCUCGUGUCGUGAGAUGUUGGGUUAAGUCCCGCAACGAGCGCAACCCUUGUCUGCUGUUGCCAUCAGGUUAAGCUGGGCACUCUGCAGAGACUGCCGGUGAUAAACCGGAGGAAGGUGGGGAUGACGUCAAGUCAGCAUGGCCUUUAUGUCUGGGGCUACACACGUGCUACAAUGGCCGGUACAAACCGUUGCAAAACCGUAAGGUCGAGCUAAUCGGAGAAAGCCGGUCUCAGUUCGGAUAGCAGGCUGCAACUCGCCUGCUUGAAGUUGGAAUCGCUAGUAAUCGCGGAUCAGCACGCCGCGGUGAAUACGUUCCCGGGCCUUGUACACACCGUACGUC